CAUUGCGAUGGUCCCUGCGGA
This 21-nucleotide small nuclear RNA is filed under the name Arabidopsis thaliana (thale cress). RNAcentral describes it as "snRNA_13370". Lineage: Eukaryota; Viridiplantae; Streptophyta; Magnoliopsida; Brassicales; Brassicaceae. The record is from RNAcentral.